UGGGGAAUAUUGGACAAUGGGCGAAAGCCUGAUCCAGCCAUGCCGCGUGUGUGAAGAAGGUCUUCGGAUUGUAAAGCACUUUAAGUUGGGAGGAAGGGCAGUAAGCGAAUACCUUGCUGUUUUGACGUUACCGACAGAAUAAGCACCGGCUAACUCUGUGCCAGCAGCCGCGGUAAUACAGAGGGUGCAAGCGUUAAUCGGAAUUACUGGGCGUAAAGCGCGCGUAGGUGGUUCGUUAAGUUGAAUGUGAAAGCCCCGGGCUCAACCUGGGAACUGCAUCGAAAGAUGGCGAGCGUCAGUAGGUGGUGGCGGGGUGGAAUGUCCGGUGUAGGUGGGAAAUGUGGAGAUAGAGGAAGGAACACCAGUGGGGAAGGCGACCACCUGGGCUCAUACUGACACUGAGGUGCGAAAGCGUGGGGAGCAAACAGG
RNAcentral lists this ribosomal RNA (429 nucleotides) under Pseudomonadota bacterium. RNAcentral describes it as "Proteobacteria bacterium partial 16S ribosomal RNA". It matches the Rfam family "Bacterial small subunit ribosomal RNA", at positions 355 to 776 of the family's 1533-position model. Lineage: Bacteria; Pseudomonadati; Pseudomonadota. The record is from RNAcentral.